This 369-nucleotide ribosomal RNA is filed under the name uncultured bacterium. RNAcentral describes it as "bacterial SSU rRNA". It matches the Rfam family "Bacterial small subunit ribosomal RNA", at positions 527 to 896 of the family's 1533-position model. The record is from RNAcentral.
GUAGGGUGCAAGCGUUAAUCGGAAUUACUGGGCGUAAAGCGUGCGCAGGCGGUUCGCUAAGACAGAUGUGAAAUCCCCGGGCUUAACCUGGGAACUGCAUUUGUGACUGGCGGGCUAGAGUAUGGCAGAGGGGGGUAGAAUUCCACGUGUAGCAGUGAAAUGCGUAGAGAUGUGGAGGAAUACCGAUGGCGAAGGCAGCCCCCUGGGCCAAUACUGACGCUCAUGCACGAAAGCGUGGGGAGCAAACAGGAUUAGAUACCCUGGUAGUCCACGCCCUAAACGAUGUCAACUAGUUGUCGGGUCUUCAUUGACUUGGUAACGUAGCUAACGCGUGAAGUUGACCGCCUGGGGAGUACGGUCGCAAGAUUA